This is a long non-coding RNA of Pogoniulus pusillus (Red-fronted tinkerbird), 359 nucleotides long. RefSeq lists it as uncharacterized. Lineage: Eukaryota; Metazoa; Chordata; Aves; Piciformes; Lybiidae. The record is from RefSeq and is a predicted model, not a curated record. The transcript is spliced from 3 exons.
AGGUGCCUCCACUUGCUCCUGGAAGGGACCUCCUGAAGAGCUCCUCUGAGGAGAGCAGUUCUCCAGGCUCUUCACAAGUCCAUCAUGAGCGAAGAGCAGCCUCUGAGAAGGGAUGUGAUGAGGAGCCAGGAAGGAAGAAGAAGAAGAAGCUGGAAGGAGUUUGCAGGCCUGGGCAGAGAAGGAAAUCCAAGCAGGCAAGACGAAGGAGGAGCCCAGGAAGCUGGAAGAGACUUCCAAAGAAAUGUCUCCUUCAUGUGCACCACCAUGGCUUGUCACAUUACCCUUCUGAGGCCCCCUACCUAGUGAAACCCUGCUCCAUCUCCAUGCUUUUGAAUUGUCUUUAGAGUUGCUGUAGUGAU